AACGCACCUUGCGCUCCCUGGUAUUCCAAGGAGCAUGCCUGUUUGAGCGUCACGAAUAAUUCUUGACUGCCUUUUGGGUGGGAGAGGAUUUGGACGUUGCCAUUUCUUGGCUCGUCUUAAAUGCAUUAGCCAUUGUUGCCUGCUAGGCAAGUUGGGUUUGAUGUGAUAAGCAUUGCAUCUGCUUGGCUUGGAUUGAUAGUGUAACUUGGCUGCGAAUGGUUGGUGUCAAUACCGACAGCUUUAAUGUUUUGACCUCAAAUCAGGUAGGACUACCCGCUGAACUUAA
RNAcentral lists this unclassified non-coding RNA (286 nucleotides) under uncultured fungus. RNAcentral describes it as "partial contains 5.8S ribosomal RNA, internal transcribed spacer 2, and large subunit ribosomal RNA". Lineage: Eukaryota; Fungi. The record is from RNAcentral.